This 253-nucleotide unclassified non-coding RNA is filed under the name uncultured bacterium. RNAcentral's name for it is "contains 16S-23S intergenic spacer region". It matches the Rfam family "Bacterial small subunit ribosomal RNA", at positions 524 to 776 of the family's 1533-position model. The record is from RNAcentral.
UACGGAGGGUGCAAGCGUUAAUCGGAAUUACUGGGCGUAAAGCGGGUGUAGGCGGCCAUGCCAGUCGGAUGUGAAAGCCCUGGGCUCAACCCAGGAAGUGCAUCCGAUACUGCGUGGCUUGAGUACUGGAGAGGGAAGUGGAACUCCUGGUGUAGCGGUGAAAUGCGUAGAUAUCAGGAGGAACAUCGGUGGCGAAGGCGGCUUCCUGGCCAUGUACUGACGCUGAGGCGCGAAAGCGUGGGGAGCAAACAGG